GAAUUUAAUAUAAUUUUUUUAUAAAUUAGUAUAAUUAUUAUAUUUAAUUGGGGGGAUUAUUAAAUUUAAAAAACUUUAAUAUAAAAAAAACUUUGAUUAAAGAAAAUAUUUUUUUAAUAAUGAGUAAUUUUAAUUAUUUAAGAAUUAAUUACCUUAGGGAUAACAGCAUAAUAAUUUUUUUUAGAUCUUAUAUAAAAAAUUGUUUAU
This 207-nucleotide ribosomal RNA is filed under the name Neoponera apicalis. RNAcentral describes it as "partial large subunit ribosomal RNA". The record is from RNAcentral. Lineage: Eukaryota; Metazoa; Arthropoda; Insecta; Hymenoptera; Formicidae.